AUGCUGCGAGACGUGACGCCGCGGAUAGGUCUGUACGAAUAUGAUUUGAUGAAGAAGAUGGUGGACAAAAUUACAGUUAAUGUUGGCGCCGGUGAAGUUUCCUACCACGGUGCAAUGGUACGGACCGAGCUGUUAGUGAGCAAUCUUAUUGGCUUCCCUUCUAAGGAAACUUUCACAGCGAAAGUAGCAAAGCCGGCGCCCAGAAGGGCAAAUGCCACAUGCGCGCCGAUGUUGCGAAGUAGUUAUACCAAAACCGGGCCGCAGGAGUUUUCAAAUUACAUACGAACACGGUACCCAAGCAUUUCAGCAGAGAAGCUUGGUAUACUUCUGCGGGAGCAGAACGCCCGUGGCCUAGCAAGCAUAUCAGAAAUGCGUCAAGUGUUCCAGUCCAAUAUGUUUACUUUCACAGACAAGCUUAUGGCAUGCUUAGUAGAUAGUUGCACUUGUUGCAAGGCACAUGGGAACAAAAAGUGCAUCUUGGAAAAGGACGGCACAAACACUUGUGAUGCACCGCCUCAUGUACCAACUCACCAAACUCAAUUCAGCACCCCAUUAGUCAGCAAGAUAGGUCCUCGACUACCAGCACCAGGCAACCCUGCAGGUUGCCUAUCUGCCAAUAGUUCCGCGGCUAGGAAAAGGGAUGGAAGUUUAUCAUCAAGCGUACAGUCGGGCACAGCAAAGAAAACAUGUUCACGUGAGGCGCAGAAUGUCCUCGCCGCAACACCAACAUAUGGGCAAGAACCACUCAACCAAAUUGCCAUAUCCCAGGAUGCAAGCCUCAAUGAAAUUGCAAGCAAGAUCGUUGCAUUUUACGACGACCUUACAGCCAUCUUGGUUACUUACUAUGCUGAGAUGCGGCCAGCCCCCGGGUUCAUAUUGUUUGGAUCAACCACCGAUGGAGCACAUGUGAAGAUCGAUCUACCUCAAUGCAAUUUUGGAAGAGAUCCGUGGGUAGCUGGAUCAGUCCCAGUACCACCAAAUCCAACUGUACUCAGGGCCAUAAGAGACUGGAUGACUGCAGCCUCGAUGCUAAACCUUGAGAGGAAAUGGAUCAUGCAUCCUAAGCCAAAACUCAUAGCAUUAGAGGGGGUUGAAAUCCAACGUCAACUUGCAUCUAACGAUGCAAUGACCCAUGAGAUGGCUAAAGCUAUUUUCCGCGGGCUUGGCCAGAUUGACUCGUUUUUCUCAAAGGACACUCCUGGACUGAUAUGGAGGAAAUUCCUCGAGCCUGACUUUGCUACAACUGUUUUGGCGAAUGCCGACCCAUUGACUGUACACUCAAUUAGGGCUAGCUUCCAAAAAGGAACAGCAUCCUGCAAUCCAGCUUCGUGCCGAAUGUGGUACUUCCCGACGAUACUACCUGAUUGUUGGACUGUAUAUGCAUUUGAUAUGCUGCGGAAAAGAAUCAUCGUAUUCGACCCAGCAGUUGGGCCAUUUGGGUAUAGCAAUCGGCGAGUCAGCAUGCAUGAAUUUGUUAGCAACAAACUGCAUGCCGCGUUGUUCACAUGCCUCCAGAAUUUUUUCAGCUCUUGGCAUUGUGAAUCAAGCCACUGGGGGCGCAUUUUUCGGAUCAUAAUGAGGGAAAACAUUGAGAAACCGGGCUGUGCGCCACCUUUUUUGCAUGGAAUUAUGACGGCGACAGCAUCACAUAGCAGCUUGAUGAUCUACGAACUAAUGAGGAUGCAAGGCAACCAAACUCCAGUGGCAAACGACGCCCUUGAAGCUGUCAAAGGAUCGUUCAUUGCUCUUUAG
This 1752-nucleotide ribosomal RNA is filed under the name Triticum aestivum (bread wheat). RNAcentral's name for it is "partial small subunit ribosomal RNA". The record is from RNAcentral. Lineage: Eukaryota; Viridiplantae; Streptophyta; Magnoliopsida; Poales; Poaceae.